AGUUUUUAAUCCUCGUUAUCGUUGGAUCAGUCGGCCAAGUAAAAUAUGCAAAUUACAAUUGCCUCUGCCGGAAAUGAUAGGUGGGGCAAAAUUAGCCGCCGGAAACGAUAAUAUCGCGAUUUUUAAUCUACCACUCUUUAAUCCCCCAACAAAUAUUCCAUUUCUCUCAUCCACGUUUCCACGGAAUAGAAGCAACGAACGAGAUUACUAAUUCACGCACCCCGACCUAUAAUUAUAUCAAGGUUUUAAGAUAUCUUAAACGAAUCGAACUUUUUAAUGAAGAGAGCAAACAAACAUGUGAACAUAUUCGUAAAUGUAAUACAUUCCCUACGUUUUGCGAAUAAAUUAUGGUAGAUGUAACCGUUAUACGAGUGAAAUAUUAAUAGAAUGAUUAAUUUAAUUGAGAUAAGCUCUUGUUAUUUAUCUUGUACGAAUAAAUUACAACGGAUAUAUGAAUGAAAUUUUAGCAAUGAUUGAUUAAAUCAUGAAAUCCGAACUUUGAGACGAGUUAUUAUUUGAACAAUCGUCGAUUAUCAUGACAAUUAUUCUUUAUGAAGUUACUUACGAACGUCUUUUAAUUU
Apis florea (little honeybee) is the source of this 581-nucleotide long non-coding RNA. The record is from RefSeq and is a predicted model, not a curated record. Lineage: Eukaryota; Metazoa; Arthropoda; Insecta; Hymenoptera; Apidae.